RNAcentral lists this transfer-messenger RNA (359 nucleotides) under Bacillota bacterium. It matches the Rfam family "transfer-messenger RNA". Rfam says of the family: Bacterial tmRNA, also known as 10Sa RNA or SsrA, is named for its dual tRNA and mRNA-like properties. Lineage: Bacteria; Bacillati; Bacillota. The record is from RNAcentral.
GGGGGCGAACUAGAUUCGACGGGGAUGGACGGGGUGCCGAAUAGCGAGCCGAGCUCUGCGACUCGAUAAACCGCAGGAAACCAAUAAGUGCCAACGAAUCUAACGAUUCUUUCGAAUACGCUUUAGCUGCUUAAUCCCAGCUAACGUGGCCUAAUCAGGUUCCUGCCCUUGAUGAGGCUACGUAAACGAGGCAGGAUACUGCAUUGGUUGCCCAGCCACUGCAGGAAUUUACGGGCUGGCCUGUCAGGUCCGUGCUCCGGACGGGUUUGUCAGGUGAGAGUAAAUCUGGAGCUACGCUCGUAGAAGUUCGGUAUCACGUGUCUUCGGACGGGACGGGCAGCACGUCCCCGCCUCCACCA